AUGGUCAAAACAUAUUUGUAGACUGAACUAACUUAUGAUGCUUUUAUAUGAAGAAUCUUUAGAAACCUUUCCCGAAAUUACUAGGUUGAAAGCGAUAAGAUCAUGGGAAUGUUUUAUGGUGUAAUAUGAAGAUAAUGACUUUUUUUGUUUUUUUGGGUGAUCAGGGCAAAGAUCAUAAGGAAGUCUAGAGGAGAUCUCUUCCCAGAAGAGGUAGUUUGGAUACAACUUCCAUCAUAAUGGGUUCUCAUACUAGAGUGGUUCACUUAAAGUUUAUGUGUUCAUCAACUUUUUCCACUGCAGAAACUCUGCAAAUGGCUGACUCAGCUAUUACUGGCGGUAGAUUAUCUGCACUCCAACCGUGUUCUACACAGAGACGUGAAGGUAUAAAUAGGCCCUGAUUUAUUAAUGAGCUUUCCUUGUAUGACCUGUUUUAACAUGAAGUAUUUCGAUUUAUUUCAGUUAUCUAACAUUUUUGUCACAAAGCACAAUGACAUCCGACCAGGUAAGAAUGACAACCAAGUGCAUGAUAGCACCCUCCUUGUUUCUAUAUUAUAUGUGAAUCAAAUAUGUUUACUUUUUUUACACAUGUGAUUUUGGAUUCGCAAACCUUCUCGAUAGAUAUGGCCUUGCUUCCUCGGUACGAGUUCUCUGUAUAUUCAUGAAUUUUUUAUAUUUUUUUCGGUAAAGACAAUUUAAGUCGUAUUUUUUCCAUGAUCUAUUUUCGCUAUUACAUUUGAAUUAGUUGUGAACUUCUACUAUGUGAUUGGUAGAAAUUUAUAUUAAAGGAAGUUCACAACCUUAAAAUCCUAGAUACACCACUGACCAUAGUGCAAUCCAAAUUCAAGUUAAGGGUUGAUUCCUCCAAAAUCCUAGAAAGAAUCUAACUAGUAACUAGUCCCUCAUGUAGAUGGAAAUGGUGUUGUGUGUGGAAAUUCACUGUCAUUUCGGUAAUAUUCUGAUACAUUUCUCCUGAUUUUGCCUUCACUUUGUUCUUUUCCUUAAUCAUUGUGUGUCAAGAUUUGGCAAGUUUAUGAUGCUGUUAUAAUCAGGGAGAGAAUUUAUUAAUUCCAUCUUUUAUACUUGUGUUUCGCAGGCCUUUGUAUGAAAUAACGAUUUCAACACUUGACAAGCCCACGC
RNAcentral lists this long non-coding RNA (1137 nucleotides) under Solanum tuberosum (potato). RNAcentral's name for it is "long non-coding RNA (STUB_LNC006477)". The record is from RNAcentral. Lineage: Eukaryota; Viridiplantae; Streptophyta; Magnoliopsida; Solanales; Solanaceae.